AGGGUUUGAUCAUGGCUCAGGACGAACGCUAGCGGCGUGCCUAAGGUAUGCAAGUCGAACGGGGAAGAGAGCUUGCUCUCUUCCGAGUGGCAAACGGUCGAGUAACACGUAGACGACCUGCCUCCAAGAGGGGGAUAACUGCUCGAAAGGGCAGCUAAUACCGCAUGUGGCCGGAAGGGGCCUCCCUUCCGUGCUAAACGGGCAACCGGCUUGGAGAUGGGUCUGCGGCCUAUCAGCUUGUUGGCGGGGUAACGGCCCACCAAGGCGACGACGGGUAGCUGGUCUGAGAGGAUGAUCAGCCGGACGGGGACUGAGACACGGCCCCGACUCCUUCGGGAGGCAGCAAUGAGGAAUAUUGCGCAAUGGGGGAAACCCUGACGCAGCGACGCCGCGUGGGUGAGGAAGUCCUUCGGGAUGUAAAGCCCUUUUUUCGGGGACGAUCCAAGACGGUACCCGAAGAAUAAGCCCCGGCUAACUACGUGCCAGCAGCCGCGGUAAUACGUAGGGGGCAAGCGUUGUCCGGAUUUACUGGGCGUAAAGAGCGCGUAGGCAGAAGGUUAAGCGUGGCUUGAAAGCCCCCGGCUCAACCGGGGAGGGGGGCUGCGAACUGGCCUUCUUGAGGGCGACAGAGGAGUGUGGAAUUCCUGGUGUAGCGGUGAAAUGCGUAGAUAUCAGGAGGAACACCGGUGGCGAAGGCGGCACUCUGGGUCGGCCCUGACGCUGAGGCGCGAAAGCGUGGGGAGCGAACGGGAUUAGAUACCCCGGUAGUCCACGCCGUAAACGAUGAUCACUAGGUGUGUGCGGUAUCGACCCCGCACGUGCCGCAGCUAACGCAAUAAGUGAUCCGCCUGGGGAGUACGGCCG
This 864-nucleotide ribosomal RNA is filed under the name uncultured Actinomycetes bacterium. Its description in RNAcentral is "bacterial SSU rRNA". It matches the Rfam family "Bacterial small subunit ribosomal RNA", at positions 8 to 888 of the family's 1533-position model. The record is from RNAcentral. Lineage: Bacteria; Bacillati; Actinomycetota; Actinomycetes.